Molecule: ribosomal RNA, 429 nt
Filed under: Bacteroidota bacterium
Lineage: Bacteria; Pseudomonadati; Bacteroidota
Description: Bacteroidetes bacterium partial 16S ribosomal RNA
Rfam family: Bacterial small subunit ribosomal RNA
Source: RNAcentral
UAGGGAAUCUUCGGCAAUGGGGGGAACCCUGACCGAGCAACGCCGCGUGAGUGAAGAAGGUUUUCGGAUCGUAAAGCUCUGUUGUUAAGGAAGAACGAGUGUGAGAAUGGAAAGUUCAUGCUGUGACGGUACUUAACCAGAAAGGGACGGCUAACUACGUGCCAGCAGCCGCGGUAAUACGUAGGUCCCGAGCGUUGUCCGGAUUUAUUGGGCGUAAAGCGAGCGCAGGCGGUUAGAAAAGUCUGAAGUGAAAGGCAGUGGCUCAACCAUUGUAGGCUUUGGUAACUGUUUAACUUGAGUGCAGAAGGGGAGAGUGGAAUUCCAUGUGUAGCGGUGAAAUGCGUAGAUAUAUGGAGGAACCCCGGUGGCGAAAGCGGCUCUCUGGUCUGUAACUGACGCUGAGGCUCGGAAGCGUGGGGAGCGAACAGG